AACGUAGGAGGCGAGCGUUAUCCGGAUUUACUGGGCGUAAAGCGCACGCAGGUGGCUUAGCAAGUCGGACAUGAAAGCUCCUGGCUUAACUGGGAGAGGUGGUUCGAAACUGCUGAGCUUGAGGUUGGGAGAGGGACGUGGAAUUCCCGGUGUAGUGGUGGAAUGCGUAGAUAUCGGGAGGAACACCAGUGGCGCAAGCGGCGUCCUGGCCCACACCUGACGCUGAGGUGCGAAAGCGUGGGGAGCAAACAGG
Molecule: ribosomal RNA, 253 nt
Filed under: uncultured bacterium
Lineage: Bacteria
Description: partial 16S ribosomal RNA
Rfam family: Bacterial small subunit ribosomal RNA
Source: RNAcentral